AACCCCUAUUUUUUAGUUGCCAUCAGGUUAAGCUGGGCACUCUAAAGAGACUGCCGUCGAUAAGGCGGAGGAAGGUGGGGACGACGUCAAGUCAUCAUGGCCCUUAUGUCUAGGGCUACACACGUGCUACAAUGGGUUAUACAGAGGGCAGCUAGCUCGCGAGAGUCUGCGAAUCCCUUAAAGUAAUCCUCAGUUCGGAUUGCAGUCUGCAACUCGACUGCAUGAAGUUGGAAUCGCUAGUAAUCGUGGAUCAGCCAAGCCGCGGUGAAUACGUUCCCGGGCCUU
This 285-nucleotide ribosomal RNA is filed under the name uncultured Denitrovibrio sp. Its description in RNAcentral is "partial 16S ribosomal RNA". It matches the Rfam family "Bacterial small subunit ribosomal RNA", at positions 1100 to 1382 of the family's 1533-position model. The record is from RNAcentral. Lineage: Bacteria; Pseudomonadati; Deferribacterota; Deferribacteres; Deferribacterales; Geovibrionaceae.